UACGAAGGGGGCUAGCGUUGCUCGGAAUCACUGGGCGUAAAGCGCACGUAGGCGGACUCUUAAGUCGGUGGUGAAAUCCUGGAGCUCAACUCCAGAACUGCCUUCGAUACUGAGAGUCUCGAGUCCGGGAGAGGGGAGUGGAACUGCGAGUGUAGAGGUGAAAUUCGUAGAUAUUCGCAAGAACACCAGUGGCGAAGGCGGCUCACUGGCCCGGUACUGACGCUGAGGUGCGAAAGCGUGGGGAGCAAACAGG
RNAcentral lists this ribosomal RNA (253 nucleotides) under uncultured bacterium. RNAcentral's name for it is "partial 16S ribosomal RNA". It matches the Rfam family "Bacterial small subunit ribosomal RNA", at positions 524 to 776 of the family's 1533-position model. The record is from RNAcentral.